GGAAAUGUGGCUCAGAGGUUAAGAGCACUGACUGUUCUUCCAGAGGUCCUGAGUUCAAUUCCCAGCAACCA
RNAcentral lists this transfer RNA (71 nucleotides) under Neotoma lepida (desert woodrat). It matches the Rfam family "tRNA". From Rfam's summary of the family: Transfer RNA (tRNA) molecules are approximately 80 nucleotides in length. Their secondary structure includes four short double-helical elements and three loops (D, anti-codon, and T loops). Lineage: Eukaryota; Metazoa; Chordata; Mammalia; Rodentia; Cricetidae. The record is from Rfam by way of RNAcentral.